GCCGCCAUAGCUCAGUGGUAGAGCGCACCCUUGGUAAGGGUGAGGUCCGCAGUUCAAUCCUGCGUGGCGGCACCA
RNAcentral lists this transfer RNA (75 nucleotides) under Rhodospirillaceae bacterium. RNAcentral describes it as "tRNA-Thr". It matches the Rfam family "tRNA". From Rfam's summary of the family: Transfer RNA (tRNA) molecules are approximately 80 nucleotides in length. Their secondary structure includes four short double-helical elements and three loops (D, anti-codon, and T loops). Further hydrogen bonds mediate the characteristic L-shaped molecular structure. tRNAs have two regions of fundamental functional importance: the anti-codon, which is responsible for specific mRNA codon recognition, and the 3' end, to which the tRNAs corresponding amino acid is attached (by aminoacyl-tRNA synthetases). tRNAs cope with the degeneracy of the genetic code in two manners: having more than one tRNA (with a specific anti-codon) for a particular amino acid; and 'wobble' base-pairing, i.e. permitting non-standard base-pairing at the 3rd anti-codon position. The record is from RNAcentral. Lineage: Bacteria; Pseudomonadati; Pseudomonadota; Alphaproteobacteria; Rhodospirillales; Rhodospirillaceae.